This 254-nucleotide ribosomal RNA is filed under the name uncultured bacterium. RNAcentral describes it as "partial 16S ribosomal RNA". It matches the Rfam family "Bacterial small subunit ribosomal RNA", at positions 524 to 776 of the family's 1533-position model. The record is from RNAcentral.
UACGGGUGGGCGAAGCGUUGUCCGGAAUUAUUGGGCGUAAAGCGCGCGCAGGCGGUUCUUUAAGUCUGGUGUCUAAGUGCGGGGCUCAACCCCGUGUCGCACUGGAAACUGGGGAACUUGAGUGCAGAAGAGGAGAGCGGAAUUCCACGUGUAGCGGUGAAAUGCGUAGAGAUGUGGAGGAACACCAGUGGCGAAGGCGGCUCUCUGGACUGUAACUGGACGCUGAGGCGCGAAAAGCGUGGGGAGCAAACAGG